This is a long non-coding RNA of Rhipicephalus microplus (southern cattle tick), 914 nucleotides long. RefSeq lists it as uncharacterized. The record is from RefSeq and is a predicted model, not a curated record. NCBI's taxonomy places the organism in Eukaryota, Metazoa, Arthropoda, Arachnida, Ixodida, Ixodidae.
CGUGGCGAAAACGAGACGCGAAGUGAGUGCAUUCGACACGCCGGUCAGGCAGGCUGGAAACAUAAAUUUCCUAGUGAAAUCGACGCGCGCCACAUAUAUCCUUAACUGCAGCAAGCAUAUCAUUUUCAACGUUUGGUGGCGUUGAACUCAGUCCAAUCGAGCCGAGGCCACGCGUCGGAGCAUUCAAGUGUGCACUACAUGUUCUGGCGGACCGGUGUGACUUGGCGACUGCAAGAAACGCCUCGUGAGGGACCGGUUAGUUGUCGGUCUUUGAGACGAGAAGCUUUCAGAGUCUUUUCAAAUGAAGGGCAAACUGACUUUGGCAACGGCUUUAGCGAAAGCGUGACUGAAGGAAAUGGUGCAGGAGAAACAAGAGCUUCGUGGCGCGGAGGGCACCGGCAACUCUACGUCAUUCCAGGAGUGCGAAGAGGUGGGCGUUAACGCCAUUGGGCAUCAGAGGAGCCAGCCGAAGAUAGUCUCCGGAUAAUGAGGUUCACGCUGCAGCUUCGGGGGGGGGGGGGGGGCUUGUGAGGACUGCCUGCCUAGUAAAGACACAAAAACGCCAUAACUGCGGCGUCAAAGAAUAUUUCAGCAAGGUGUGUCUCAAGAAUACCUCACAACGACGGCCGGUACGAGUCUCCUCAGUACACAUGGACUCUACAGAUGUUUUCUUGGGAAUAAUUAUAGCAUCUAGCACGGGGUCGUGAUUUUUCCUAGUAAGAGUUGAUGAUGUGCCAGUUUUUUCCAAGGUGGAUAUGGGUGCCAAAGUUUCGGUAGUACCAAAGUCUCUUCCAGGUUUACCCACCAAACUAAGUAAGACAGACGAGGUGCUCGCGGGAGCCAGUGGGGCCAUUUUGAUGUAUUGGGCAAAUUCGAGGCAGAGGUUUAAUGGAAAGUAAAAACUUCUCGCCAGG